UGAAGGACAAGUUGGUUUCUGGCCA
This 25-nucleotide microRNA is filed under the name Equus caballus (horse). RNAcentral describes it as "eca-miR-9095". Lineage: Eukaryota; Metazoa; Chordata; Mammalia; Perissodactyla; Equidae. The record is from miRBase by way of RNAcentral.